Molecule: long non-coding RNA, 563 nt
Organism: Venturia canescens
Lineage: Eukaryota; Metazoa; Arthropoda; Insecta; Hymenoptera; Ichneumonidae
Exons: 3
Source: RefSeq, a predicted model, not a curated record
AUCAACAGCAGUAAAGUCGUAGUGGAAUUGGGGAACUAAGAUAGAGCUUGAUGUCCGACGUCCAAAGAAAUCUCAUCACUCGCAACGUCGAGUUAUCCACAUUUAACGAGUUAUAGCCCAGAAACAUGUUUCUAUUUCGUCACAGCCACAUUCUUCGCGAUUCUAGAACUGCAAAUGGCAAAUGGCUUUGCCAAUUUCACGUAUGCACAAACUCGUCGUGUCCAUGUGUCACGUAAAAUCCCGGAGGCUCAAGUGCACCAAAAUCUGGAAUGGCACAUCGAACAAGAGAUAGCAAAACAGCUAUACGUAAGACAAGCAUAGCAGCGCGGGAAUCUCCGGGGUGGAAAAUUUUAUCGGAAGACGUUAGGCUCGGGUCACUGAUUGUCGGCGUCAACCCGGCUCUCGCUAUCGUCCCGAAGACUAAUGAUUACUCCAUGUACUUUCCGUUCACGUAUAUUGAAGCUGUCCAUCCGACGUUCGAAUGCUCCCGUAUUUCGUAAAUUCAACAGAUUUUUUAAAAUUUAACAAGGUUCUUCGAAAUAUAACGGACAUGAAUUUUUCCC